UUCAUUGGCGAGUGUGUGCGUGCAUUGUUUUGGAAGCAGUUUUCUGUUCCUGGCUGUGUUGUGCAUAUGCUUGCUGGUGCCCUGUGUCAUGGUGGGACGUCAGAGUCAAUUCGUAAGUUGCGGGAAAUGGCUAUUGGGGAGGUAGGUCGCUUCGGUGGCUGUUAUAUCCUGAUAGCUAGUAGUCGUGGCUGGGAUUGAGGUGCCUACAACGUGCUUUCGAGUGUCUGGGUGUCUCGUUUGGUAAGUUAUCUUGACAGCUUGCUGUGUUGGUGAUAUUAUCGGGCGAUUGAUGUCUGGCCUAACUUGUUGCCGUUCGGGACUUUGACGAAAUGGAGCGAUCCGUCCCGUCUUGAAACACGGACCAAGGAGUCUAACAUGUGUGCAAGUGUUCGGGUGUGGAAACCCAAACGCGAAAUGAAAGUGAAGGACAGUUUACUGUCUGAGGUAGGAAACCUUUGUUCUCAAGGGUGGCACUAUCGACCGAUCAUGAACCUUCGUGGUGAAAGAUUUGAGUUUGAGCACAUAUGUUGGUACCCGAAAGAUGGUGAACUAUG
This 554-nucleotide ribosomal RNA is filed under the name Pythium sp. RNAcentral describes it as "partial large subunit ribosomal RNA". It matches the Rfam family "Eukaryotic large subunit ribosomal RNA", at positions 451 to 835 of the family's 3401-position model. The record is from RNAcentral. Lineage: Eukaryota; Oomycota; Peronosporomycetes; Pythiales; Pythiaceae.